AACUGAUGAUGCCAUUUUUUAUUUGCUGAAUCGCUAGAGAAAUGUAUUUUAUUGGCAUUUAAUUUCAAUAUUUUUAUCACAACUUCCUUUAUUUUAUUCAGCAAACGGCAAAGUUUACUGGAAACAACGGAAAGCAACUUCGAGGUACCUCAAGUUCCUGAUACCAGCUGCGAACUGAUUGACAGCGCCGAUCCCACCGAUCCCAACCAUAGUGAACCGUGACUACUCAAGCAAAAAUGCUACUUCAUUUCUUUGUAGGCCUACUCAAUGACGUGGGAACCGGGGAGAGGGGUUACACCCCUCUCCUGAAAACCGAGUGGGGAAGCGAAAUGGUAACAUGCUGGACGCGCAUUCGGGAGGACACGGGUUCUAUUCCCGGUCGAGUGAUUACGGCUUCGGGCACGGAUCUCCGUGUCAUGACACUACCGCUGCCAGAUGAAUAGGUCAGCGACGACUCCAAAGAGAAAUAUAUAUAGAGAAGACGGUGGAAGUUCAUCUGUGCUGAAGAAACGAUUGUGUUGCCAAACAAAAUAGAUUUUCAUGUGACACUGUUUGCAGAAACCUCAGAAAACACAAGGAAAGAGGUAUGUAAGGAAAUUAGAAAAUGAGCUGAAACAUUAAACUCUUUUGACACUCCAUAGAAAGGAAGAAUUAUUUUCUGUUUAAUGCUGGCAUGUGAAGACAUUAGAACAUUUUCUUGUCGAUUAAAUUCUUUGGACAUUCAAUGAAAAUGAAUUAUUUUGUGAAUUUUUGUUAUAAUAGUGCUUUUUUUAUUUCACUUAGAAUUUUAUUUCAUUGCCGGUUAAUUGAUAGUAACUAAGAAAGUGAAAUAAAUUUUUUUUUUGGAGAAAUAAAGAGUAUUUUUUACAACCUUAUAUUUCAUGAUUGUCUAUCUUCAAAACUUACCAAACUUGGGUGAUUCAUAUGGAAAAAAUAAUGCUGUCAUUUAAAGGAAAGAAAAGUGUAAAGAUUUUUGCUGAACGUUCAUAAUAAAUAAUUUUACCUUUUGACAUGUCAGUUAUCUUUAAAACACAUUGUAGUUAUUAGUAUGUACAAGAAAGAAAGUGCAAGA
This is a long non-coding RNA of Bacillus rossius redtenbacheri, 1072 nucleotides long. RefSeq lists it as uncharacterized. The transcript is spliced from 3 exons. The record is from RefSeq and is a predicted model, not a curated record. NCBI's taxonomy places the organism in Eukaryota, Metazoa, Arthropoda, Insecta, Phasmatodea, Bacillidae.